UGUGUAGGCGGCUACGCAAGUCGGAUGUGAAAUCCCUGGGCUCAACCCAGGAAGCGCACCCGAUACUGCACGGCUCGAGUACCGGAGAGGUUGGUGGAAUUCUCGGUGUAGAGGUGAAAUUCGUAGAUAUCGAGAGGAACACCGGUGGCGAAGGCGGCCAACUGGACGAGUACUGACGCUGAGACACGAAAGCGUGGGGAGCAAACAGGAUUAGAUACCCUGGUAGUCCACGCCGUAAACGAUGGGUGCUAGGUGUCACGGGCUUUGACUCCUGUGGUGCCGUAGCCAACGCAUUAAGCACCCCGCCUGGGAAGUACGGCCGCAAGGCUAAA
RNAcentral lists this ribosomal RNA (332 nucleotides) under uncultured bacterium. RNAcentral describes it as "bacterial SSU rRNA". It matches the Rfam family "Bacterial small subunit ribosomal RNA", at positions 568 to 898 of the family's 1533-position model. The record is from RNAcentral.